CAGUCGCCGCGGUAAUACGUAGGGUGCAAGCGUUAAUCGGAAUUACUGGGCGUAAAGCGUGCGCAGGCGGUUCGCUAAGACAGAUGUGAAAUCCCCGGGCUUAACCUGGGAACUGCAUUUGUGACUGGCGGGCUAGAGUAUGGCAGAGGGGGGUAGAAUUCCACGUGUAGCAGUGAAAUGCGUAGAGAUGCGGAGGAAUACCGAUGGCGAAGGCAGCCCCCUGGGCCAAUACUGACGCUCAUGCACGAAAGCGUGGGGAGCAAACAGGAUUAGAUACCCCCGUAGUCCCUGUCUCUUAUAC
RNAcentral lists this ribosomal RNA (301 nucleotides) under uncultured bacterium. RNAcentral's name for it is "partial 16S ribosomal RNA". It matches the Rfam family "Bacterial small subunit ribosomal RNA", at positions 509 to 807 of the family's 1533-position model. The record is from RNAcentral.